UGGAAUGAUUUAUGGCUGAAAUCUAUAAGGCUCUUGGAUUGGACUGCGGCCGAUCAGGCUGUUGGUGAGGUAAUGGCCCACCAAACCUGUAACCGGUACGGGCUCUGAGAGGAGAAGCCCGGAGAUGGGCACUGAGAAAAGGGCCCAGGCCCUAUGGGGCGCAGCAGGCGCGAAACCUCUGCAAUAGGCGAAAGCUUGACAGGGUUACUCUGAGUGGUUUCCGCAAAGGAAAUCUUUUGGCACCUCUAAAAAUGGUGCAGAAUAAGGGGUGGGCAAGUCUGGUGUCAGCCGCCGCGGUAAUACCAGCACCCCGAGUGGUCGGGACGAUUAUUGGGCCUAAAGCAUCCGUAGCCGGUUCUGCAAGUCUCCCGUUAAAUCCACCUGCUUAACAGAUGGGCUGCGGGAGAUACUACAGAGCUAGGAGGCGGGAGAGGCAAGCGGUACUCAGUGGGUAGGGGUAAAAUCCGUUGAUCCAUUGAAGACCACCAGUGGCGAAGGCGGCUUGCCAGAACGCGCUCGACGGUGAGGGGUGAAAGCUGGGGGAGCAAACCGGAUUAGAUACCCGGGUAGUCCCAGCUGUAAACGAUGCAGACUCGGUGAUGAAUAGACUUAGUGUUUAUUCAGUGCCGCAGGGAAGCCGUUAAGUCUGCCGCCUGGGGAGUACGGUCGCAAGACUGAAACUUAA
RNAcentral lists this ribosomal RNA (685 nucleotides) under uncultured Methanosarcinales archaeon. RNAcentral describes it as "bacterial SSU rRNA". It matches the Rfam family "Archaeal small subunit ribosomal RNA", at positions 171 to 859 of the family's 1478-position model. The record is from RNAcentral. Lineage: Archaea; Methanobacteriati; Methanobacteriota; Methanomicrobia; Methanosarcinales.